This is a long non-coding RNA of Haliotis rufescens (red abalone), 457 nucleotides long. RefSeq lists it as uncharacterized. The transcript has 3 exons. The record is from RefSeq and is a predicted model, not a curated record. NCBI's taxonomy places the organism in Eukaryota, Metazoa, Mollusca, Gastropoda, Lepetellida, Haliotidae.
UGUUUUUGUUAAGUGUAUUCUAGAUUCUCUGGACAUAGCACUGAAAAACAUUAAAAUGACACAAACCAAUUAAUUCCUAAGAUCGAUUGGUUGGCACGUCACUAGUUCAGCAAUUAUGAUUUUACAACCAGUUCUCAUCACCAGUUGUGGAUGGACGACGUCCUGAGGGUGGCGCUUUGAAGUGAUGAGGUUUUGAGUGACCUUCUAUGAAGAUUAAGGUCACUGGAUUGGUCUGUCUUAAGAGGUGAAGUUAUCAAACCAAGAGUGCUUACAUUGACAGCUUGAGGCACAGGACUAAUUUCUACUGCAUUUGGCAACAUGAGUAUGAAUCACUUGAUCCACCAAGACUUGAACGAGCUGUGGAGGACAAGUAGUUGGUACCUGACAAAGGCCACUGUGAUGGGCAUUACUUGCACCGGGUACCACCUGGAAAACUCGCAGUUGUGCCCCGAGUGAU